Molecule: long non-coding RNA, 267 nt
Filed under: Lathyrus oleraceus (garden pea)
Lineage: Eukaryota; Viridiplantae; Streptophyta; Magnoliopsida; Fabales; Fabaceae
Description: Pisum sativum (pea) long non-coding RNA (PSAT_LNC018726)
Source: RNAcentral
CUUCAUCUGAGGGGUGAUCAGGUACCUUAGGUUAACAUCUAGAUUAUAAAGAAACUUUAAAGUAAGUUUAUCAUAUACCGGGAAAUCAGAGUGCACAAGGUAAUGCAUCCCCAAAUUAUUUAACAGAGAAUCCACAUCAGUUUUUAAACCUAAGAAAUCAAGGGUCUCGUCAUCGGAGUAAUAAAUUGGUAUUAUUCACCUCUGAGAAAGAUAUUGGUACUUGUUGGUGUGUUCUUAUUUUGUAAAGAUGAACCCAUGAGGAUUGAC